UACGAGGGGUGCAAGCGUUGCUCGGAAUUAUUGGGCGUAAAGGGUUGGUAGGUGGUCUUGUUUGUCUAAGGUGAAAUCCCAUGGCUUAACUGUGGAAGUGCCUUAGAAACGGCAAGACUAGAGUCCGGAAGAGGCGAGUGGAAUUCCUGGUGUAGCGGUGGAAUGCGCAGAUAUCAGGAGGAACACCAAUAGCGAAGGCAGCUCGCUGGGACGGUACUGACGCUAAGGCGCGAAAGCGUGGGGAGCGAACAGG
RNAcentral lists this ribosomal RNA (253 nucleotides) under uncultured bacterium. RNAcentral describes it as "partial 16S ribosomal RNA". It matches the Rfam family "Bacterial small subunit ribosomal RNA", at positions 524 to 776 of the family's 1533-position model. The record is from RNAcentral.